UUGUUAUCAUUAGCAUCAUGUUUAUUUUCCUUCUUAAUUGAAUAGUUACCAAUCAACCUUCAGAGCUUUUGUUAACUACACGAACAGUAAACUCUUGAAAAUUUAUUUAAAUCAAGACCAACAAAUAGACAAUUGUGGCCACAAAAUAAAGAAGGCGAAAGCUUGUUUAAAGAUUGGAUUAAUCGUGUUAAUGUAACGUUAGAUCCAUGGGAUAGAAUCGAUUCUCCACAAUUCAUAGACUUUUUUAAUAUACCUGAACUCUCUGAUAGAUUUUUUGAAACGAAAGAAGAAGAAAAACCAUUGCAGCACAGUGCAAAUGCGCAGAGACUUCCUCGAACGAGUGAUUAUAACGAUCAAAAUGAAUUAAUUAACUUACUAGACAAUUUUUCUUUGACGAAAGAAAA
Vespa mandarinia (Asian giant hornet) is the source of this 404-nucleotide long non-coding RNA. The record is from RefSeq and is a predicted model, not a curated record. NCBI's taxonomy places the organism in Eukaryota, Metazoa, Arthropoda, Insecta, Hymenoptera, Vespidae.